GUGGGCGUGGCCUAGCGGCUAAGGCAUCAGGCUGUGGACCUGAGGAGCGCGGGUUCGAGUCCCGUCGCCCACCCCA
Molecule: transfer RNA, 76 nt
Filed under: bacterium
Lineage: Bacteria
Also listed under: 2 other names
Description: tRNA-His
Rfam family: tRNA
About the family: Transfer RNA (tRNA) molecules are approximately 80 nucleotides in length. Their secondary structure includes four short double-helical elements and three loops (D, anti-codon, and T loops). Further hydrogen bonds mediate the characteristic L-shaped molecular structure. tRNAs have two regions of fundamental functional importance: the anti-codon, which is responsible for specific mRNA codon recognition, and the 3' end, to which the tRNAs corresponding amino acid is attached (by aminoacyl-tRNA synthetases). tRNAs cope with the degeneracy of the genetic code in two manners: having more than one tRNA (with a specific anti-codon) for a particular amino acid; and 'wobble' base-pairing, i.e. permitting non-standard base-pairing at the 3rd anti-codon position.
Source: RNAcentral